GAGAUAGUUUAGUAAUACUAACAUAGUAUUUAUAGUGUUAAUACAAAAAUGAAAGUCACUUAUGGGUUAUAUUAUAAUUACAGAUUUUAAAAGGACAAAAAUGGUUCUCAGGCAACACAAGAUAGGCUGGAAAUACCCUUUUUAACAUGCACACAUCAGUGACUGUAAUUCCCCAGGGAGACUUACGUAGCAAUUCUAUUUUAAAGCAUUUUUUUGACUUCUUAUUAUAACAUGGCCUCCUAGAGUGGAGGAGGCAAACCUACCACUGGCUGCUGCUUCUUACCUGCUGGCUUGAUCUUGAUCAGAAAUACAAGGAGAUAAGAGUGCUGAAUCUGCAUGCUCUGCAGAGGAAGAGUGUGAAGAGAAGGCAGUCCAGCAUAAAGCAUGGCUAUCUUCCUAGCAGGAGAACUGGGACUGCACUUUCUGGGGAUGGCCCCCAUGCACUGAGCCUGCUUUGUAGCCAGGAGCACUGGCACAUCAUCUGAUAUCUCCCACAUGUCUGAUGGCCCUGAGCAGGGUGAGCGUGGGUGUCACAGCACCUCUCCGAAAAAUCAGAGUCCUGGGCCAGCCAGGUAAGGCCACUGUGCUUCUGCAAGCUGAGCAGGGGAAGGCCACAAGCACAGUUCGGUGAUGGUGCUGUCCCUGUGUACAUGAUGGACAUAUGCAACUGGCGCACAGGGCUGUGAUGUACUUCUGCAUAGGUUUUGGAAAGCUGAGGACCAGCAGGGAUGUGGAGGCUGGUUCUCCCUGAUACUCUACUGCAUAACGUUAGCUGGCAAUGGAGCGAUCCUUUAGAGGAAGACAGGUUUCUCAGAGCCCCAACAAGCAGUGCGGCUGCAUGGCUGCCAGCUCCACCAGUGAAACCGGGUGCUAGUUCCAUCCUGCCUCUGGGGCUCUGCUGAGGUUGUCCGCCAGCACAUCGACUCUUCUGAAUCCAGCGGAGCGGCACUGACUGCAGCACAGCGUGGGAAAGCCUCACACCUUGGCGAUGUCUGUGAGCUUGCUGAAGAGUCUGACAACGGCCAUUCACUGGAAUAUAUUCAAAGCAAUGGGGAUGUCUAAAGCUUUAACUCCUAAUCCGAUGGGGAAAAAAUCGGUUUGGCACAAAAUUUACUUGUUACGUGAACUGGUGGGUUUUAACAGUCUCUAGAGUCUACGUCUCAAGUCAGGAAUUUAUUUCCUCUGUUUUCUCACUGAAUUGUUUAAUGUUGGUUGGUAAUACGGACAAAAUUUGUUGUUUUUUUUUUAAUACAAAUGCCAUUAAAUGAGCUGUCUGUGCAUUGGAAAUGGACCUGCUGUUUCCA
RNAcentral lists this long non-coding RNA (1304 nucleotides) under Gallus gallus (chicken). RNAcentral's name for it is "long non-coding RNA NONGGAT012030". The record is from RNAcentral. Lineage: Eukaryota; Metazoa; Chordata; Aves; Galliformes; Phasianidae.